Molecule: ribosomal RNA, 459 nt
Filed under: uncultured bacterium
Lineage: Bacteria
Description: partial 16S ribosomal RNA
Rfam family: Bacterial small subunit ribosomal RNA
Source: RNAcentral
CCUACGGGAGGCAGCAGUGAGGAAUAUUGGUCAAUGGCCGGAAGGCUGAACCAGCCAAGCCGCGUGAAGGACGAAGGUGCCAAGCAUUGUAAACUUCUUUUGUCAAGGGACAAAAUCAGGCUCGAGAGCCUGACCGAGGGUACUUGAAGAAAAAGCAUCGGCUAACUCCGUGCCAGCAGCCGCGUUAAUACGGAGGAUGCGAGCGUUAUCCGGAUUUAUUGGGUUUAAAGGGUGCGUAGGCGGUCGGUUAAGUCAGCGGUAAAAGCCCGGGGCUCAACCCCGGCGAGCCGUUGAAACUGGCGGUCUUGAGAUGUCGAGAGGUAUGCGGAAUGCGCAGUGUAGCGGUGAAAUGCUUAGAUAUUGCGCAGAACUCCGAUUGCGAAGGCAGCAUACCGGCGGCGAUCUGACGCUGAGGCACGAAAGCGUGGGUAUCGAACAGGAUUAGAUACCCCGGUAGUC